RNAcentral lists this ribosomal RNA (465 nucleotides) under uncultured bacterium. RNAcentral's name for it is "partial 16S ribosomal RNA". It matches the Rfam family "Bacterial small subunit ribosomal RNA", at positions 28 to 507 of the family's 1533-position model. The record is from RNAcentral.
GACGAACGCUGGCGGCGUGCUUAACACAUGCAAGUCGAACGGAAAGGCCCCUUUGGGGGUACUCGAGUGGCGAACGGGUGAGUAACACGUGAGUAACCUGCCCUUGACUUCGGGAUAACUUCAGGAAACUGGGGCUAAUACCGGAUAGGAAUCCUUGCUGCAUGGUGGGGGUUGGAAAGCUUCGGCGGUUUUGGAUGGACUCGCGGCUUAUCAGCUUGUUGGUGGGGUAGUGGCUUACCAAGGCUUUGACGGGUAGCCGGCCUGAGAGGGCGACCGGCCACAUUGGGACUGAGAGACGGCCCAGACUCCUACGGGAGGCAGCAGUGGGGAAUAUUGCACAAUGGGCGGAAGCCUGAUGCAGCAACGCCGCGUGCGGGAUGACGGCCUUCGGGUUGGAAACCGCUUUCAGCAGGGGCGAAGCUUGUGGUGACGGUACCUGCAGAAGAAGCACCGGCUAACUACGUG